RNAcentral lists this ribosomal RNA (254 nucleotides) under uncultured bacterium. RNAcentral's name for it is "partial 16S ribosomal RNA". It matches the Rfam family "Bacterial small subunit ribosomal RNA", at positions 524 to 776 of the family's 1533-position model. The record is from RNAcentral.
UACGUAGGGUGCGAGCGUUGUCCGGAAUUAUUGGGCGUAAAGAGCUCGUAGGCGGUCUGUCGCGUCGAUCGUGAAAACUUGGGGCUUAACCCUGAGCUUGCGGUCGAUACGGGCAUGACUGGAGUUCGGCAGGGGAGACUGGAAUUCCUGGUGUAGCGGUGAAAUGCGCAGAUAUCAGGAGGAACACCGGUGGCGAAGGCGGCGUUCUGGACUGUAACUGACACUGAGAAACGAAAGCCAGGGUAGCAAACGGG